GAUUUCUGGUCUGACAUGCCUGGCCCGCCGGGGUCACCCGUGUGAGUGCCGGUGCGCGUCUACCAUCCUUCUGGAAAACGGCCUUACCCUUCACUGGGCCGAGGUCGCGAUCCAGAUCUUUUACUUUGAAAAAAUUAGAGUGUUUAAAGCAGGCUUACGCUAUGAAUACAUUAGCAUGGAAUAAUAAUUUAGGACUUUGGCCCUAUUUUGUUGGUUUCUAGGACUGAAGUAAUGAUUGAUAGGGAUAGUUGGGGGUGCUCGAAUUCAGCGGCCAGAGGUGAAAUUCUUGGAUUCGCUGAAGACGAACUCAUGCGAAAGCAUU
Molecule: ribosomal RNA, 322 nt
Filed under: uncultured Kraken
Lineage: Eukaryota; Cercozoa
Description: SSU rRNA
Rfam family: Eukaryotic small subunit ribosomal RNA (bases 110-322)
Source: RNAcentral